GCAUGUUCGCCGCGAGGGCUGCGUUCGAUGGAGCGAUAUUGGCUGGUUACCGAAUUGCCAACAAUUGUAGCAAUAGUUUCGAUUUAAUUGCAAAAUCAGCAAUUAUGGGGUGGCGCUCGGGUGUCGGUGGGCACCCGAGCUGAAUGUUCGUC
RNAcentral lists this small RNA (152 nucleotides) under Sinorhizobium meliloti 2011. RNAcentral's name for it is "putative ncRNA". The record is from RNAcentral. Lineage: Bacteria; Pseudomonadati; Pseudomonadota; Alphaproteobacteria; Hyphomicrobiales; Rhizobiaceae.